UCGACGAGUUUGAUCAUGGCUCAGAUUGAACGCUGGCGGCAUGGUUAAAGCAUGCAAGUCGAACGCGAACCACCUUCGGGUGGGGAAAGUGGCGAAAGGGCGAGGAAUACGAUCGAAUGUGCCCCGAGGUGGGGGAUAGCGUCGAGAAAUCGGCGGUAAUACCCCAUGUGCUCUACGGAGGAAAGGUUUACCGCCUUGGGAGCAGCGAUCGUCCUAUCAGGUAGUUGGUGGGGUAAUGGCCUACCAAGCCGAAGACGGGUAGCGGGUGUGAGAGCAUGACCCGCCGCAUCGGAACUGAGACACUGUCCGGACUCCUACGGGAGGCUGCAGCGACGAAUAUUCCGCAAUGGGCGAAAGCCUGACGGAGCAAUGCCGCGUGUGGGAUGAAGCGCCUUCGGCGUGUAAACCACUGUCAGGUCCUAGGAACACUGACCAGGACCAGAGGAAGGGCCGGCGUAACCUCCGUG
RNAcentral lists this ribosomal RNA (467 nucleotides) under uncultured bacterium. RNAcentral describes it as "bacterial SSU rRNA". It matches the Rfam family "Bacterial small subunit ribosomal RNA", at positions 1 to 507 of the family's 1533-position model. The record is from RNAcentral.